AGUACCGUGAGGGAAAGGCGAAAAGAACCCCGGGAGGGAAGUGAANGGGNUCCUGAAAUUGUGUGCAUACAAACAGUAGGAGCCUCGUAAGGGGUGACUGCGUACCUUUUGUAUAAUGGGUCAGCGACUUACAUUCAGUAGCAAGCUUAACCGAAUAGGGAAAGGCGUAGCGAAAGCGAGUCCGAAUAGGGCGCUAGUUGCUGGGUGUAGACCCGAAACCAGUGAUCUAUCCAUGGCCAGGAUGAAGGUGCCGUAACAGGUACUGGAGGUCCGAACCGACUAGUGUUGCAAAACUAGCGGAUGAGCUGUGGAUAGGGGUGAAAGGCUAAACAAACUUGGAAAUAGCUGGUUCUCUCCGAAAACUAUUUAGGUAGUGCCUCAAGUAUUACCGUCGGGGGUAGAGCGCUGUUUUGGCUAGGGGGUCAUGGCGACUUACCAAACCAAGGCAAACUCCGAAUACCGACGAGUACAGCUUGGGAGACAGAGCACCGGGUGCUAACGUCCGGACUCAAGAGGGAAACAACCCAGACCGCCAGCUAAGGUCCCUAAAAUUGGCUAAGUGGGAAACGAAGUGGGAAGGCUAAAACAGUCAGGAUGUUGGCUUAGAAGCAGCCAU
This 616-nucleotide ribosomal RNA is filed under the name uncultured bacterium. Its description in RNAcentral is "bacterial LSU rRNA". It matches the Rfam family "Bacterial large subunit ribosomal RNA", at positions 497 to 1119 of the family's 2925-position model. The record is from RNAcentral.